GUCGAGCGGACUUGAUGGAGAGCUUGCUCUCCUGAUGGUUAGCGGCGGACGGGUGAGUAACACGUAGGUAACCUGCCCAUAAGACUGGGAUAACCCACGGAAACGUGAGCUAAUACCAGAUAGGCAUUUUCCUCGCAUGAGGGAGAUGAGAAAGGCGGAGCAAUCUGCCACUUAUGGAUGGACCUGCGGCGCAUUAGCUAGUUGGUAAGGUAACGGCUUACCAAGGCGACGAUGCGUAGCCGACCUGAGAGGGUGAUCGGCCACACUGGGACUGAGACACGGCCCAGACUCCUACGGGAGGCAGCAGUAGGGAAUCUUCCGCAAUGGACGAAAGUCUGACGGAGCAACGCCGCGUGAGUGAUGAAGGUUUUCGGAUCGUAAAGCUCUGUUGCCAGGGAAGAACGCCUAGGAGAGUAACUGCUCCUAGGGUGACGGUACCUGAGAAGAAAGCCCCGGCUAACUACGUGCCAGCAGCCGCGGUAAUACGUAGGGGGCGAGCGUUGUCCGGAAUUAUUGGGCGUAAAGCGCGCGCAGGCGGCAAUGUAAGUUGGGUGUUUAAACCUAGGGCUCAACCUUGGGUCGCAUCCAAAACUGCAUAGC
RNAcentral lists this ribosomal RNA (600 nucleotides) under Paenibacillus sp. CK20. RNAcentral's name for it is "bacterial SSU rRNA". It matches the Rfam family "Bacterial small subunit ribosomal RNA", at positions 61 to 641 of the family's 1533-position model. Lineage: Bacteria; Bacillati; Bacillota; Bacilli; Caryophanales; Paenibacillaceae. The record is from RNAcentral.